UAGCACUUUUAGAUUCUACGUGAAAUUCUAAGAAUUUUGAUAGGUCACAUGUCCUACUUCGGUUAAAUAGUUUUCGAGAUAUAAGCAUUUAAAAAUUUAACUUAUAAAUGCGAAUAUCUCGGAAACUAUUUUGUCAAAGUGUAUCAUGUGACCCAUCAAAUUUCUUGGAAUUUUACGUAGAAUUCAAAAAUGUAUUCAUGUAUAGGGGUUUAUUUAGAAAAAAAACAGAACUUCUGAUAAAACCCGAUGUCAAAUUUAUUUUUUUUAAGAAACUCUUCAAAUGUUUUAGCACUUUUAGAUUCUACGUGAAAUUCUAAGAAUUUUGAUAGGUCACAUGUCCUACUUCGGUUAAAUAGUUUUCGAGAUAUAAGCAUUUAAAAAUUUAACUUAUAAAUGCGAAUAUCUCGGAAACUAUUUUGUCAAAGUGUAUCAUGUGACCCAUCAAAUUUCUUGGAAUUUUACGUAGAAUUCAAAAAUGUAUUCAUGUAUGGGGGUUAAUUAGAAAAAAAACAGAACUUCUGAUAAAACCCGAUGUCAAAUUUAUUUUUUUUUAAGGAACUCUUCAAAUGUUUUAGCACUUUUAGAUUCUACGUGAAAUUCUAAGAAUUUUGAUACGUCACAUGGCCUAGUUGGUUAAAUAGUUUUCGAGAUAUAAGCAUUUAAAUAUUUAACUUAUAAAUGCCAAUAUCUCGGAAACUAUUUUGUCAAAGUGUAUCAUGUGACCCAUCAAAUUUUUUGGAAUUUUACGUAGAAUUCAAAAAUGUAUUCAUGUACAGGGGUUUAUUUAGCAAAAAACAGCACUUCCGGUAAACCCGGAUAUCAAGUUUUUUUUUAAGGAACUCCUUAUAUAUUUUUAGAUUUUACAAGAAAUUUUUAGAAUUAUGAAGGGAAAAAAUAUAUAGGGAGUUCUUAAAAAAAAAAACAAUGUUAACAUCUCGUUUUUCCGGAAGUGCUGUUAUUUUCUAUGUCAACCCCUAUAGAUGAGUAUAUUUUUGAAUUCUACGUAAAAUUCCAAGAAACCUGAUGGGUCACAUGAUACACUUUGGCCAAAGAGUUUUAGAGAUAUUGACCUCUAAAAGUCAAAUUGACCUUCAACGUGACCCUUAGCACGAACUAAAAUGACAUCACUUUUUAACUCACUAAAAUGUCAAAAAUUGUCCAGAAAUCGUUUUAGAAUUUAAGAAAAUUCGGCAACGUAGGCCUAACAGUCAUCUGUCAAUAUAGUCAAAUAGUCAAAGUACCAUCCUAUCAAUUUGAUCCCUCAAUUUCGAUUAAUUUUACUUAUUUUUUUCCAACAAAAUCUCUAUAUUGUCUUGUAAGUUAAUUAUAUUUUUAGAAUUCAAGGAAAUUUGGUAGAAUGGCACUUAGCUGUCAUCUAUCAAAGGUCAAACUGUCAUUUGUCAAACAUAAAUUAUUCCUGUACUUAUUGCCAAUUAUCAUCAUAAAAUUUCCAGUAUAGUCACUAAAUUCAUACUCUAUGGUUCUUUAAUUAAAUUUUAGAAUUCAAGGAAAUUUGGCAAUGUAGCCCUCGCAUCACCUGUCAUUCAGGUCAAACUGUCACUUGUCAACCCGAUUUCAAUAUAAAACGUUGGCACCAAACUGUUACUUUAAAAUCUAUUUUUUUUACCCACUCGCAAUUCGCAGAAUCCAAAUAUCUAUGAAUAAAUAAAAAAAAUAACGAAGUUAGCUCCUUUGAGUUUCUUUAUAGUAUAAAAAAUUAUUAAGCCUUAAGAUGUAUGUACAGGACUCACUUUAAGCGACUUGAAUUAUUCACCCUGUUGAAUUUAAAAUAGAUACAUAAAAAAAUAGUAUUAUGUUAUCACAAUGUGCAGAAAAUAUAUUUUUAUCCAAUUGUGUAACCUCCGUUAUCUCUAUUGAAAUAAGUUAAACUAGUAAAUAUGGACCUUGACAUAUCACAAAAAUAGAUCAUUAGUUCUAAAUGUUACUAAAAUCAGCAGAAAAAAAAAUUGGCAAAUCUCUAAUUUAAUUGGGUUAGCGAUAGAAAUUUCUUUUGACCUUACCGGUUCAAAGUUGAACUUUUUGUGUGGUUUUUUUAAUUGCGAGUUAUCAGCGGACAACGUUAAAUAAUCAUACCCAAAACCCCUGAUAAUAUUUAAUUAGGCAAGGUUAUUAAUAACGUUAUAUAAUAUUUCCGAAAUAUUAGAGGGCAUUUUUUAAGAAUUUGUUUGUUUUGAAAAGUAAGCCAUGAUACUACUAUGAUCUAACAAACUCACCCUCACUCAAAAAUUACAUUUAAACCUUAUCACAUAACAAAACAUAAUAUAUACAAACGAAAUAACAAACAAACAAAAAUAAUUAUAAACUCCUAAAACCUAAACUACGAAAUAGCAAAAAUUUCACAGCAUUUAAAUUUCUUGAGUUGGUAUAUGUUGAUCACGAAUAAUUUCUUAUAGCCUAUAGAGACAUUUAUGCAGACCCUUCACAAAAGGGCUGUCAUUAUUAACGUUGAUAGUGCCCAUCACGAACUUAAUUAAAUAUACCUGGACUGUCAAUUCAAUGAAAAGUUUUUGAGAGGUUAUGUUUACAAAAAGACAAAAUAGAAAGUUACAUUUAGUUAAGAAUUUAAGAUAGUUGCGUUAGGUCUGUGAUUUUUCUUUAAUAAUUUCGUUAAAAUUUAUGAAAGAAAGUAAUCCUCGCCUAAAAUGAGACAAAGUUUCAAUUAAUUUGGGAUAGAUGCAUGCGCUUUAAAAUAUUUGUUUUAUUAUUCUGAUAAUCUUAUAAAUCUAAACUUAAACUACAAAAAAAUCAAUAUAUAGAUGAUUUUAUGAGGGUUUGUAAUUAGCAAGGGUUUAUAUUAUAGUAAAAAUAAACUCUAUAUCGAUAUCAAUAUUCUAAUAAGACGUAUCCCAGAAAUUUCCGAUUUUACGUUUUUUACAAAAAUUCACUGUGUUCCUUCGAAUUCUAAUAUAUCGUAAAAAUCAUUUAACUAGAAAUAUUUGUUAGGCGCCUUUUCUAAUAUAUCGUAAAUAAAACAGCUGAUUUUUUUCUUUCUAAUAGGUCGUAUACCACAGUCGCUCCAUGGUUUUACUAAGUGAGUGUUGAUAGUAUAUACUUUGUCUAUACUUUGUUGCAUUAUUACAAUUAAAAAGGGUAUAUAUAUUUGCAAAAUGUCGAAGGUAAGUUACAUUGUAAUAUCUAUUAUUUUCUUAACGCAUUUAAUUUUAUUUAUACUAUAAAAUUAUAAAAAGUAACAAUAUUUGCUUUUAAAAUAAUUGAAGCGUUCGGACGAAUAACGGUCUAUGGCGUGUAUAGAUUCCACUAAAUAUUAUAAUAGUUUGUUGAUAUACCAAUAGAUCAGGCGAGUAUGCCAAUAUGGCGAGUGUUAAAAUAAUUUUUCAAGUCGGAACAACGGUCUAUGUGACAUCAACUUUGAGCCGCUGUGGUCGUUGAUACUUAACCCAAUGAUUCUGUUUUAUGGUUCAGUGCGAAUAGUUACAUUCUAGUGUGUGUAAUUUAUUUAGAUUAUGGAAAACGGGAUAGAAAGAUCCAAUACUGUUCGGUUUUCACCUACUGAUAUUCGUAGGCUCAAUAAAUCAAAAAGAAAUACCAGACAGAUAAAUGCAGAAACUUGGAAGGAUGUGUCUAGAAAUAAUCGCAGAGAUGCGGGUCUCGAAUACACGACAAGGAAGACAAAAAGUACUAAGUAAAAGAUUUUUUUUUUCAAAUUAAUUAUCUACAUGUUUAGUAUAAUAUUAUUGAAGUCGGUGCCAAGCAAAUGUAUCAAAUCAUUAAACUUGUAAUAGGUUCCAGAUUUCAAAACAGCUUUUUAAAAUGGUACUUGCUUGUCACCGACUUUAAUAAUAUACUUACUAGACCUGUAGGUAAUUAAUUUGUAAAAAAUAUGUGCUACCUUUUUUUUAAAGUCGGUUAAUUAAAAAAAAAUUCCAUAAAUCAUCAUCACUGAUACCAUGCGCAUUAUUAUGUCAUUUGCUGGUGACCCUGUUAUUAUGUGCAACAAAAGUUAUAUGAUUUUUCCUAUACAGUGAGAAUUUUUACCUUAGUUCCAUAGGAAAAACAUGCAAUGAAAUAAAGUUGAGUCAUUGAGAAAUAUUCCGAAGGGUUUUUAGUGCAUUACGAAUAGUAGCCUACAAUCCACAACCAAAAAAUUCAAACUAAUCAAAAUUCAAAUUCACACAUUGAAAAAAUACAAUAAUAAGUAAAGCUGAAUUUUCUCGUCUAUUAAAUAUAUUUUAAACGUGAAAUAUUUUUGAUUUGUUUUGACAUUUAUCAAAAACUUUGUGUUUAUCACCUGACAAUGUUUGUUUGUGUACAGGUGUUAUAUUGUCGGUAUUAUAAUAUUAUAUUUUUCUAUGGAACAUUUUGAAUGACUCAACUUUUUUUCAUUACAGGUUUUUUUCCAUGGAACACAAGCAAAGAUUCACACUGUAUAUGUAUAGAUUUACUAUUUAUGUUAUUUUUUGAAGGUAAACAUAUGCAGCAAAUCUUGUAAGCAAAUGUGAUCACAUUUCACCCUUGAUAUGAGAAAAGAUCUCUUCAAGUUCUUCUAUUCACAUUCGUAUGAUGAGCAGUCGGCGUUUUUAGCCAAAAAGAAGAAGAGCUGGAAAAACAGAUGCUACAUCGUUAAAGUUGUGCACUUUCACGUACUUCAUAAAUAACAAGAAAGUAUGCAAAACUACGUUACUCGAUGUGUUCAAAAUCACUCAUAGACGAAUCCAGACUGUACAAGAUAAACUCAAACUCGGUGUUCAUAUUCCUUUAGAUCAGAGAGGCAAGCAUCAUAAUAGACCAAAGGCGAUUCUACACGAGAGUAGGAACUUGGUUAUGGAACAUAUUAACAAAUUUCCAAGGGUUUUAUUAUAAAAUUUGUUUUCAUUUUUGUUAUUUAUUUAGUCUAGUUAUACAUUUCAACUGGUGAUAAGUAUGGAUUCCAAGGAAAAGGCGCGGUUACUCAAGCUACUAGAGGAGACAUCAACCGAUGAGGAAUCGGAACCAUUCGGCUCUGGAAGUAGUGACAACUAUGAUCCUAAAAAUGACGUGGCCGACUCCUCAGAUUCUGAACAGCAAGUGAAUAUUUCUCCUGAGACCAGUAGGUCAUCAUCUCCUCCUUUUUCUGAUCCUGUUUCUCCCACGAACAGAAUAUCGACACCACAAAUUUCGCAAUCCGAUUCAGAUGACCAAAUGGAUCCAUUUACCAGUCGAAAAUGAUUCGGCCGAUUCUGGUUGGAAUUGAUGACUUCUCCAUGAAUGGAAAUGGAAUAGCAGAACAAAUUUGUCCUGAUCCGGAUUCAUCAGAUACACCAUUAGGUGUAUUUCUCCAACUAUGGGAUGAACGGAUUAUGCGCUUGUUAGUCGAUUCGAGUAAUAUUUAUGCAGACCACUUGUCCCGUUCCGCUCGUCCUAAAACUCGCCACUCCCGAAGUAUGGAUAUCAAGCCUAUAACGAAAGAUGAAAUAAGCAAGUUUCUGGGACUGUGUUUACUGCCAAAAUAAAAUGUCCCAAUAUAAGAAAACUUUUUAGCUAUCAUCCUCUAUAUUACCAUCCGAUUUUCUCGUCGACUAUGAACGGCCGCCGAUUUGAACAAAUCUUGCGAUGUUUCUGCACACACAAUAAAAACGCAUCUCCAAGCAAGGAUAGGUUAUACCGAAUUAAGGAACUUCUGGAUCACAACUUUCAAAGGGCUUAUAGGCCUACGAAAGAAUUGUCUCUUGAUGAAUCAAUGUUGCUGUUUAGAGGACGGCUUUCCGUCAGAACGUAUAUGAAAAACAAGAAGACCAAAUAUGGGAUUAAAUUCUAUGAACUUUGCAAUCCCGAAGGCUACGUUUCGAACAUAGAAAUGUACAAAGGGCAAGGAGCUGAACCGCCGGAUGGAAAUCUUACGAAAAUUGAGGCCUUAGUCACAAGACUCUUGCAGCCAUAUCUCAGUCGCGGACAUCAUAUCUUCAUGGAUAAUUACUAUAACAGUAUUUCUUUGGCAAAAAAACUUGUCGGGUUAAAAACUCAUGUCACAGGUACCCUUCGAAGCAACAGGAAAAGAAAUCCUGUUCUGGUCACAAAAAAAAAUUGUCACUUGGAGAACAUGUUUGGCUGCGAAAAGGAAAAGUAUAUGUGACGAAGUGGAAGGAUAAGCGCGAAGUGCUUGCUCUUACUACUGCGCAUCAUCCUGCCCUAGUGAACACCGCUAAAAGAAAAGGUAAUCCUAAGAUCAAGCCUAUUUAAAUAGUUGACUAUAAUAAGUUCAUGUCCGGUAUUGCCGGUAUGAUCAAAUGGUUUCUUAUUAUUCUUCGCCAAGAAAAAUCUUUUUUUGGUAUGAAAGGUCAUUUUCCAUUUACUGGAUGUCACUAUAAGGAACUCAUACUAUUUAUUCAAGAAAAUGAACGGGUCUAAUAUUAGCUUCGUGAUAUUCAGAGUGAUAAUCAUAAAAUCUCUGCAACAAAUUGAUACAGAAAUUAAAGAUGGGAGAUCAUUGCUGCAACUGCCACCUAGGUUUAGGCCAACUCAGAAUAAAUAUGUUCCUGUUCCAAGUACAAGCGUUUUUGGGGAUCAGAAUUAUCAGAACCAUUUUCCCCAGACAAUCCCAGUUCCUGAUAACUAUUCAAGGAAGCGAUAUUUCUUACGAUGCAGGCAAUGUUCAAAAUUUUCAAAGAGGAAGGAAACCAAUUACAGAUGCUCUGGCUGCCCUGAAAGGCCUGCAUUGAGUGUGGAGUGCUUUGCACCUUGGCAUAGCGCUUAGGGUUUUUAUCAAAUGUUUUCUGGUAUCUUUUACCAAUGAAUUUUGUGUUUUCGUUUAGCUUUUUUGAGAAUGUUAAAUAAGGUUUUUGUAUUUUGAUUUAGAUCUGUUUGAUUAGGCGAAUAAACGUAUUUGUAUAC
This is a long non-coding RNA of Anthonomus grandis grandis, 6849 nucleotides long. RefSeq lists it as uncharacterized. Lineage: Eukaryota; Metazoa; Arthropoda; Insecta; Coleoptera; Curculionidae. The record is from RefSeq and is a predicted model, not a curated record. The transcript is spliced from 2 exons.